This 120-nucleotide ribosomal RNA is filed under the name uncultured bacterium. RNAcentral's name for it is "partial 16S ribosomal RNA". It matches the Rfam family "Bacterial small subunit ribosomal RNA", at positions 1358 to 1482 of the family's 1533-position model. The record is from RNAcentral.
UACGGUGAAUACGUUCCCGGGACCUUGCACACACCCGCCCCGUCAAGCCAUGGAAGCCGGGUGUACCUAAAGUCGGUAACCGUAAGGAGCCGCCUAGGGUAAAAACUGGUGACUGGGGCU